Molecule: long non-coding RNA, 1023 nt
Filed under: Macaca fascicularis (crab-eating macaque)
Lineage: Eukaryota; Metazoa; Chordata; Mammalia; Primates; Cercopithecidae
Description: lncRNA (ENSMFAG00000055476.1)
Source: RNAcentral
UCUGCCUAUGACCUUCAGCCCCAUUGUGGGGCUGAGAAGCCUGGCAUUUGGAGGCUUCAGACUGCCACAGGGAUCUCCAAAUUCACCCACUGGGGAGGCAAAGGCUUCUGUUGGAUGUGUCACAAGGAGGAGCCCUCUUCACUCAGGCAAGGCUGGAAAAGACUUGAGCUUGCAAGAAAAAUAAACCAGAGAAUUUUGAAGGUACGAAAAGUUAAUAAAAUUAUGUGUAUGCAUUUAAAAUGCUCUGUAAGAAAAUAUUUUUAAAAAUGAGAUUAUUGGUAUAAUAAGAAGUGGGACCCAGAAUAGAGAUGGGUUUGUCUGGACAAGGAAAUUAAAACACCACCUCUUCCUCUGAAAUAGGAGGAAUACAGAAAAGGAAUGAUGUUAACACAGAGAAACUCCAAAGUGGAGAGAAACAGAGUUGAGGUAGUAGAUCCCUGAAGACUUUUCACUUCACCAGAAAAUUGAAGUGACAUCCUUCACCAGAAAAUUGGCUGAUGGUAAGAGGCAUUGGGAUGGAGCUGAAGACUCAUGGAGCCUAGAGAAUUCUUUGCAAGGGCUGGGAGGAAAGCAACAGGAAGCUAACUCCAGAUGGAUAACCAUGGAAGCAGGAAGGGCCCGGAUUGGGUUGUGGAGUGGGAUACUUAGGGGGUCCUGUGGUACAGUAGUGACACUUUUUCUAGCAAAACUUGGCAAUCCUGGAGUGAGCAGGUGGUGGGUGAUCUAGAGUGAGAGUUGCCACUGAGGACACUGGCAGGUAAAAGGGCCAAGUGUCCCCAGGAUGUUAGCAAGCGCAGUGCAGAGUAGCUGGUGUGGGUCCAGACUGAGCAGGACAGUGAGGGAGGCCGGGAAUAUGCUUGUGCUUGGUCCCAUGUGGUUAUAUCAGCCACCAUGACAUUGACCUUCAUAUAUUGGAUUCUUGGAAAUUCUUUGUUUAGCCAAGGAAGAUAGUUAUUUCAGCAUAGGCCAAGCCACAAAAUGAUAGAAUGAGGGUUUACGUUUUUUGUAGAUUGUUCCUUGUCU